This 382-nucleotide ribosomal RNA is filed under the name uncultured eukaryote. RNAcentral describes it as "partial 18S ribosomal RNA". It matches the Rfam family "Eukaryotic small subunit ribosomal RNA", at positions 592 to 975 of the family's 1831-position model. The record is from RNAcentral.
CAAUAGCGUAUAUUAAAGUUGUUGCAGUUAAAAAGCUCGUAGUUGGAUUUCUGGUGGGAGCGAUCGGUCUGGCGCUUAGCGCAAGUACUUGCAUCGUCUCCGGCCAUCCUUGGGGAGAGUCUGUCUGGCAUUAGGUUGUCGGGCAGAGGAUCCUCAUCGUUUACUGUGAAAAAAUUAGAGUGUUCAAAGCAGGCUUAUGCCGUUGAAUAUAUUAGCAUGGAAUAACAAGAUAGGACUUUGGUACUAUUUUGUUGGUUUGCGCACCAAAGUAAUGAUUAAUAGGGACAGUUGGGGGUAUUCGUAUUCCGUUGUCAGAGGUGAAAUUCUUGGAUUUACGGAAGACGAACUACUGCGAAAGCAUUUACCAAGGAUGUUUNCAUUA